GACGAACGCUGGCGGCGUGCUUAACACAUGCAAGUCGAGCGGUAAGGCCCUUUCGGGGGUACGACGAGCGGCGAACGGGUGAGUAACACGUGGGUGACCUGCCCUCAGCUCUGGGAUAAGCCUGGGAAACCGGGUCUAAUACUGGAUAUGACUCCAUGACGCAUGUUGGUGGGGUGGAAAGCCUUGUGCGGCUGAGGAUGGGCCCGCGGCCUAUCAGCUUGUUGGGUGGGGUGAGGCCUACCAAGGCGACGACGGGUAGCCGGCCUGAGAGGGCGACCGGCCACACUGGGACUGAGACACGGCCCACGACUCCUACGGGAGGCAGCAGUGGGGAAGUCUUGCGCAAUGGGCGAAAGCCUGACGCAGCGACGCCGCGUGAGGGAUGAC
This 387-nucleotide ribosomal RNA is filed under the name uncultured bacterium. RNAcentral's name for it is "bacterial SSU rRNA". It matches the Rfam family "Bacterial small subunit ribosomal RNA", at positions 28 to 412 of the family's 1533-position model. The record is from RNAcentral.